CUGAAAAUAUAUAAAAAAGGGCCGUAGCCAAGGUUUGAAAAUUAGUAAGAAUAUAAAACCUAAUAUUACCAAUACAUUUUAUAAAUUAUUCAACAUGAAUAAAUUUACUGAUUUAAGAAGUUAACAAAUGAUAAACGUAUGUAUUAAUGGAUAGGGCUUAAAACUGUGGCUAGAGGUUUUCUAAAAAAAAAAUUGUUACAGGAGAAUUAAGUCCUGGCGGGAAGCGGGCUUCGAUCCUACAUCGACCCGGACACCAUAAUACAACUUAUACUGACAGCGUCAAUUACCCCUACAACACUGGAACUGAUAUAUAAAUGGUGUCUUUUAUCAAUCAAUUUCUCUGCUAAAACGGCUACUAACAUGACCCGGCAAUAAACGUUAAAAAAGAUGAUAAAACGUCUAUAUCUAAUAGCUUAUUAGAUAAAUGGAUACGUAAAUAGAUACGUGGAUCUUUCGCAUGUUACAUGCAUUGUGAUGGCAGGGAGUCAGAAAUGGGAGGCAACCCCCUAGGCCUACAGUAAUGGUUUAACCCUUCCGCUCGUCAGCCAAUGGGAACUCAUCACGCUUACACGUCCACGGGCAAGUGGCCGAAUGGGCCAAAAACACGCGAAAUUGACGUCUGACGUCACGCGUAGAGUACGUGUUGUUUGCGCGUAGAGUACGCGUUGUUUGCGCGUAGAGUACGCGUCGAUUUUUCACGCGUAGAGUACGCGUACUCUACGCGUUAAAAUACGCACGUUUUUGGCCCUCCUGGCGUUCCAUAGAGUACGCGUUGUUUGCGCGUAGAGUACGCGUUGUUUGCGCGAGCUAUUCGACAGAAUUUUUUUAUGUUUUUUCGAAUUGCUCUCGCAGUACUUUGAUGUCAUCCACCACUGGUCGAAUCUUGCGGCGCCGCAUCACGUCGAACAAGCCUAGUAAUUCUGGUCGCCACCACGUAAAUUUGCUAAUAGGAUUACGUUGACAUUAUGUAACAGUCACGUAUUUUGGCUAGAUCGGGAGCUUUUAAUUGUUAUAGGCUUAAAAAAGGAGCCGCACUUAAUAUUGUAAACUUGAAGAUGAUUAAAUGUUUAUUCUUCUGUCAAUAGACACGGUGUAAUAUAAGAAUCCAAUACAUUUAGGCAUAGGCCUAUGGCAGACACUUAAAGCGACCUACAUUGCUUUAUCCUAUACAUUUUACAUAGGUACUUGCAUUCCCCUGGGAUCGAACUCAAAACCUUACGUUGUUAACGCAAUGCUCUUACCAUUGAGCCACAGGAAAGCUAUUUAAUCAUCAAUAUUGUUUGGAAUGAUGUGUAAACGAUGUCAACACAGCAUGGAUAUACUCAUUACUGACGUGAAGUGAGGCCAAAGGGAAAAAAAAUUGGAUAACGUUCUCUGAACGUUCUCAUAACGUUUCUGGUUUCCAGAAAGUCUUUUAAGGUUUGUUCUCAUAACGUUUCUGGUUUCCAGAAAGUCUUUUAAGGUUUGUUUUUGGUUAUCUUUACGGAAAUAAAACGUUUAUAAAACCGGCUAACCUAAAUAAGCCAGUCUUAUUUGCUUAUCUUGUUUUAUAGAACAGCCCUCAGUGAAUCUGUAAGCUUUGAUACUGCCAUGAAACCAAAGAAGAAGAAAUGUACGGUGAAGUCUACCUUGUCCCAAAUGGCGCACUCCGGUCUUGUGGACAUCCUCCGAGUCCACACUUGGUGACGUCAAGAAAUGCAGACCUAUAGGGCUCUAGGCACAAGGCCACAAGGGUACGUGGUAGUGCAUUUUGGGGAAGACUUGAGGUCAUCACGCCGGAAAAAGCAAGCGGGGCUUUGUAGUCACUCUCGCGGUACUUCUUUGUCAUUCGCUGAUCAGUCUGCGCAGCGCCACGUGAAAUCUAUCACACUUGUUGUCCUAUUGUAGUUAUUUGGGACUGGAGUCUAAAGUAAAGUAAAGUUAAUAGUCUAAAGUAGUCAUAGAAGUUAUCAUAAAUACAAUUUUGAACAGAAUCAGAAGACGCUAAAUUGUUAAGAGCCUGUGAAUUGAAUAUCAAUAAAACACAUACCACACCAGAAUGACAGUUAGGCAACCUGUAUUAACUUCACAGGGUGAAACACACAUACAAGGAAAAAAACACAUUUAUGAAAAUAACAAACUAAAAUAAUAAAGUGCGCACGUAAACAAAACUCUCUCUUUUCGAGAUGGGUCUGGCUGCAGACCAGAUGCACUGUCAGCGGCGCAUGCGCACUCCGACACAUGCAGUCUCAGCCGCGCAUGCGCACUCAAACAAUCUGUCAGACACGUGUGUGAAUGAAAUGCACCUACAGGCCAAUUAUAAGUAUAUUUAUUAAAUAUUCAAUUUAUUUAUUUAUUCUCAUACAAGAUUAAGUCGAAGUAAAAGUGUUAUUAUGAAUUAUUUGACAAAUAUAAUCGAAAACGUUCUUUAACAUUAUCAGACGACUGUUGUAAGUAUAUUGAUUUCAUUCAUACAGUAUAAGAUAGAUGUAAAGUAUCGUUUUAAUAUAUAAGAUAAUGUUUUCGAAACCUAACUUAAUCCUUAUAAUCAAUGGUAGAUAUAUCGCAUCUAUGAUACUUGGUUAACGAUACAUGUUCUUCAUACAGUAAUUUAUUGAAGAACUAACGUUAUCUAAAUUAAUUUGUAGCGUUGCUUGAAAACACACAGGAAAGAGGUGACCUGCACUAUAUAGUUAUUUUUUAGACAAUGUGUUACUCAACAUUAUUUAAUAUGACGUUGAAAUCUAUCAAAUAUAGGGAUGUAACGAUUCACUCAGCUCACGAUGCGAUUUAUUCAAGAUUUAUUUUUACAAAAUGAACAACUUCCCUUGUCUUAUUUCUUAAAUGCUUCACGUUUCUUUGUUUAAUAAAUUAUGUUUUAUUUCAAACAACAAAACUAACCUGCAAUAUUAAAACAAAUUAAUAUUAGAACAAUUAUUUUUAAAUAAACAAACUAAUACUGUCUGGGCCUUUCUUAGAUUUUAAGGCAUUUUUACGAAAUAUCAGCAAGUCCACGUUUAGUUUUGCAGUGAACAUGGUGGCCCCUGCUGUUUAAAAAUGUUAGGGUUAAAAAUGUAUUUCCAUUCAGUUCACACCUCAACCGAUUUGAAUCGUCACACAUUAUAAUCGAUUUUCAAUCGGCUCACAGUGAAUCGUUGGAACCCUAACCCUAUAAAAUAGCUAAACAAAAACAAAAGAAUAUUAUACACAUCAGAAUGAUUUUCAUUUCUAUCUAAAUUUUUGCUUACAGAUGCAUCAGUCAAUAGUCCUAGCAGGUGUAAAGCACCUGAUACCACAGUGCACUUCUUGUUGCACAUCGUUUCAUUCCCCUUUUUGCCCUUCACUGAAUCCAUUGACGAAAACGACUAUUCAAGGCAUUUAAAACGUACUAUUGCGCAAAUGAGGGAAUUAUCAUGUUUUAAUAAUGUUCAUUUCCAUUAUAGUUAAUGUUUUAUUAAUGUUUAUUUUCUGGCAAUGAUGCAUUAGAGUUUAACCGUAUACCUCAUAUUAUGAAGUAUUUAAAAGCUGUUUGCAAUACUAAAUGUGCUUUCAACAGGAGAUGUGAGAUAGAGGGGGCAUCUUUGGCUGCAGUUGUGUAGGGGGUGGGGGAAGGUAUGUGGAAUGUAUGUUGUUUUCUCAGGAGUGUUUUGCAGGAACCAGAUAAGGCAGAAGUUGGUGAUUGGGGUAAACAAGGGGGAUCCCGGCCCCCCAGCAGAAGAGAGAUCUGCUUGAAAUAACAAUAAAUGCUGUGAAUAUGUGCUGUGGGGGUUGUUGUUCCUUGGAAGGACAGAGGAGUGUUGUCCAGCAACCCAGCGCGCUGUAUUUUGUUAUAAUCUGAUUAAUAAACGUCAAUACUUAUUAGAGAUUGCCUACCUUCAAUUUUUGAACAUGCAGGACACUUAAAAGUCCAACAAUUACUACCAAAAAUCUUUCAAUCCUUGUGUCAUUAGAUCAUUUUCUUUCUAAUUUAUUAAUUAAGUUCUUUAUAUAUACUUUUACCCCUGAAUAAAAAACAAAAAAUUAUCCAAUAUUUGUGUAUGUCUGAGAGUUUAAUAAUGGUUGUGUUAAUGAGUUUGAUAGCAUGCAUGUGAAUGCUUUGACAGUAUGUGAGUGAUAGUAUAGUAGUGGUGUAUGAGAGAGAGUUCGAUUGCUUGUAUGAGAGGAAAAUUUGAAAUAUGUCUUUAACGGUUGUCAUGACUAACUUGGUAAACUUGUGCUGUAUUUUCUCAACUAACAGGAAGAGCCUUUUGACGGACAGGUAACUUCUCAGGUAACUCCUCAGGAAAAGUACCAGCAACCUUAAAAAGGUAGCCGUAAAGGAGCGUGUCAUGACGGAUCUUCCAAACUGCCAGUCAGUGGUACUUGGAGAACUCUGGGGAUAUUCUUGGAUCAGUUCAGCUUCCACUUAUAAUGUGCUAGAGGAUGAUGAAGCUGCAGAGGCCUUGGAACAGUUCUUCAGUACAGAUGUCAUAGAACAUGAUAGUGUAGAGCCUCUGAUGUCUGUUUUUACUUUUAUGCAGGACAUGCAUACAUUUUUAGAGAAUGUGGUGGACAAAAUGCAUCUUAGAGUCUUUUGUCGAGUACAAGAUUGAACAGGGUUGUCGUUUUUUGUUUUGUUCUAUGAUUUUAUGUUACAUUUUUUCACAAUGCCACAUAUGACCCGUCAUAUAUAUAUAGUAUGUCUAUAUAAUAAAACUUUAUCAUUAAA
Triplophysa dalaica is the source of this 4687-nucleotide long non-coding RNA. RefSeq lists it as uncharacterized. The transcript has 2 exons. The record is from RefSeq and is a predicted model, not a curated record. NCBI's taxonomy places the organism in Eukaryota, Metazoa, Chordata, Actinopteri, Cypriniformes, Nemacheilidae.